Molecule: ribosomal RNA, 253 nt
Filed under: uncultured bacterium
Lineage: Bacteria
Description: partial 16S ribosomal RNA
Rfam family: Bacterial small subunit ribosomal RNA
Source: RNAcentral
UACGAAGGUGGCAAGCGUUACUCGGAAUUACUAGGCGUAAAGGGCAGGUAGGUGGUUUGGUAAGUCUAUUGUGAAAGCUCCCGGCUUAACUGGGAGAGGCCAAUAGAUACUGCCGGACUUGAGUGUAGGAGAGGGUACUGGAAUUCCCGGUGUAGCGGUGAAAUGCGCAGAGAUCGGGAGGAACACCAAUGGCGAAAGCAGGUACCUGGACUAUUACUGACGCUAAGCUGCGAAAGCGUGGGGAGCAAACAGG